GCCCGCUUGGCCCAGGGGUAAGGCGUGUCACUCGUACCAGCCUUCAACCAGAAGUUUCAUAGGGAUGACAAGAUCACAGGUUCGAAUCCUGUAGCGGGCA
Exophiala mesophila is the source of this 100-nucleotide transfer RNA. It matches the Rfam family "tRNA". Rfam says of the family: Transfer RNA (tRNA) molecules are approximately 80 nucleotides in length. The record is from Rfam. NCBI's taxonomy places the organism in Eukaryota, Fungi, Ascomycota, Eurotiomycetes, Chaetothyriales, Herpotrichiellaceae.